Long non-coding RNA from Aotus nancymaae (Ma's night monkey), 3712 nucleotides. The record is from Ensembl. Lineage: Eukaryota; Metazoa; Chordata; Mammalia; Primates; Aotidae.
GGCGCUGAGGGGAGUGAGGAGGUCACACUGUGUGUGGGUGCUGAGGGAGUGAGGAGGUCACACUGUGUGGGUGCUGAGGGGAGUGUGGAGGUCACGGCGUGUGUGGGUGCUGAGAGGUGUUAGGAAAUCCGAUGUGUUUGUUUCUCCUGGACAGUGUCCCUGUGAGAGAGCCAUGCUGGCCCAAGUCCCGUCACUGUUGGACAGAGAGGGCUCUUCCUGGAGUGAGGCUCCCAUGUGGGUGCUUGCUCUGGCGAGGGAUCUGGUCACGUCUCACCCGAGUGUGUUUAUUUCCGGCUUUGUCGGGAGGCUGGGCACCCGUGGAAGGAAGGAGGACCAGAGGGGGAAAAGGUUUCUUAGAAAUUUGAGGAACAGAAAGCAGGAGGGGUUAUUUCAGGCCUCCUGUUCAGGGGGAAGCACAAUUUUAUGGACGUGGAGUUUCUCUUUGGAGAAUUUGAAUACAUGUGACAAGAUCUUUGGUCCAUUAGCAUCUGAAUUCUUUCUAGAAAACAGGAGCAGAAUGAUUUACCGGAGGACAUCAGCGUCAUUCUGAGGAAGGCCUAUAGGCACCUAGGCCUUUUCAACCCCCACCGCUCUCCUUCCAUCAGAGAAGAAAAAAUGCUUCUGCUUUUUGAAUUGGCUCGUUUUUCCUUGACCUUGAAGUGCACGGAGAUCUCCUCUGACUGCCUGUCAGACCUGAAGAAGAUGGAAAGCGCGGAUCCUGGGAAGCUGAUUGAAAUUGAGUGUCUGGAGUGUGAAUCAGAAGCUUUAAGACUUGAGAGUAAAAUGAAAGUGUACCUCCGAGCAGCCGUUGAGACCCAGCUGGAUAUCGUACAGAGACUGGACGUCGCGCUGCAGCGAGCCGUCCGCCUGGGCGACCCCCGGGUCAUCCAUGUGGUGUGCGCCACGCAGUGGAACACCUGCCUGCCCCUGCUGCAGCACAACCUGCGACACCGCCUGAGGAAGCCGCUGGCCAGCGUCGCGGAGGUGCUGGAGAAGGUGGACAGCCUCAUGACGCUGCUCCGCUGCCAAGUACACAUGGAGAUGGCGCAGAUUGAGGAGGACGAGGACCGGCUGGAGCCCGCCAUGGAGCACCUGUGGAAAGCCACACGCCUGGACAGCCUGGGCCUCUACCAGGACCAGCUCCGGAUGGCCUCCACCCGGCUGCGCCUGUGCACCACGCUGUACCAGGCCCCCGAGCACGCUGAGGACAAGGCCAUCGUGUGCAUCGAGCAGGCAAAAAAAGCUCCCCCGAAGGACAGCGUCAGGAAGAAGCGGGCCCUCCUGGUGAACGCGGGCCUGGCCUUAGCCCCCGACACCUUUCAGAUCGUGCUGGACAGUGAGAAUGAGGCCAAAGUGUCCACUGGGAAGAACAGGGGCCGGUUCAGCUACCUUUGCUCGAAGGCACGGCACCACAUUGUCAGCGUGGACAAAGCUGCCGGGCACCUGCGGCGGCUGGGCUAUGAAAAUGACAAGGAGAGGAUUCAGAUCUGGGCGGAGCUAGCCAAGGUGGCGCGGAAGCAGGGCGUGUGGGACGUCUGUCGGACGGCGAGCCGCUUCUGCCUCCUGUAUGACAACGUCAAGGUGAAGAAGCUGAGGCUGCGGAGAGGGAGGAAGAAGCGAGGUGGGGACAGCUCAGUGCAGGACGCUGGGAGCCAGCCUGAGGUCGUCCUGCAGAGGCAGGUGUCCCCUGACCUGCUGCGGAAGUUCGCGGAGGUGGGGUUCAUCAACGCUGAGGCCACGGUCCAUUUGCUGCGGUCAGAAGGUGUAGAGCUGAAUGACCGGGCCAUCCCCCCCGAAGACCUGAGCCAGCACCCAGCCGGCUACGUGCCUGAGCCCCCGGAGGCGAGUGCUGAGUGGGUCACAUACAGAACCUGGAUUGAGAGCCUGUCCCAGUACGCCAUGAAUAACUGGCUGCGCUCUGCAGAGAUUGGACAGGAACUCCAGGAGGCAUGGAUCGUGCAGAACGCUGUGGUCUACGUCCUGAACCACAGCCGCCACCUGAUCCUGGCCGGGCGGCAGAAGGAGCUGGUGGACGCCCUGCACCACCUCCUGAGCAUCGUCAAGGCCACAGGCCACAGCGGGGACCCUGUGAUGCUGGUGACGCUCUGCAACACGCUGGCACGAGGCCUGAUCAUCAGCUGGAUUCCAGCCCUGGCUGCUGAGAAGUCCAGGAAAUUGGUGCGAGCAAAUGCCUUUCACAGCCCACUGGAUGCAGGAGCCACCUCCGAGAUCAAAACAGCGGUGGAGGUCUGUGAGUUUGCCCUGAACCUGACCAACGGGAGCACACCAGAGGAGACGGUGCCCACCCGCAUCCGGCAGCAGCUCCUCGCCACCUGGGUCAAGGCCAAGCAGCUCCUGCAGCAGCAGAUCGGGCCACGGCUGGGCACCGAGGAGCAGGGCACCAACGAGGAUGUCAGCUCGAUAACCAGAGUCCUUGUUGCCUUGGAAAUGUACUCGUGCAACGGGCUGGGCCUCAUGGACUUCACCGUCCCCUCCCUGGCCCAGUUGGUGAAAAUGGCUUCUGAGUGCAACUGGUCGGACCCCCUGGUGGAGCUGCAGACCCUGACGCGGCUGACCCACUUCGCCUACACGGCACGUGACCAUGAGACCACCAUGGCCUGUGCUCACAAGGCCGUUGAGAUGGGCGUCAAGUACCUGAAGACACUUGGUCCCGUGGAGUCCCGGCUGGUGGCGGAGAUGCUGUGCACGGCCGCGGGUGUCCAGGGCAGGAGCAUCAUGGAGAACCUGAAGGGCCAGAAGCAGCUGCGGCUGGUGGCAGCCAAGGCCUUCAUGGAGAGUGCUAGGUUCGGAGGCAUCGCGGGCAGCAGCGCCCUGGUGAUGCUGGCCGCGCGGCACUUCUGGAAUGCCUGGCUCCCGUUCCUGUCCUCGGCCGUCUACAGGAAGAAGGCCCAGGGUGCCCUGCAGAGGCUCAUCCGCAUCAUCAACAGGACAGAGGCCGAAAAGCAGGAGGAAGAGAAGACGCUGCUUCUGCACCAGUGGCCCACAGCCGACUUCCAGGGCGGCGGGACGGCCGACGGGUAUUUUCUUCCAGGAUUGAAGAGGACUCCUUGCCACCACAUGUGUGGUUUCCAAGUUCAUCAGACCCUGGUUUACUGCAUUCAAACGGGAGGAAGCAGGACUCAGGGUCCUGGGACCGACUUAGUUCGUGAGUUUCAGACUUGGAGCAGCUUCUCUGGCCGGUGCCUGGGUGUGGAGGGCCUGGCAGAGUGAGAAGGCCACAGUGAGUCCACAGAUCCUGGCAUCCGAUGGGGCACCGUGCUCCCAGCCAUGGGCGCAUUUGCUCCUUAGACCCAGUGGGCCGACUCGGGAGAACGCAGAGUCUCACGAAAAAUGAGUCAGAGAAGGGAAAGAAGGCUCCACGCUCUGUGACGUGAACCUCAGUGGUCCAGGUGCCAGCACCAGAGGGGGGUCCUGCUGAUACCGUGACGGGGCUGGUGCAGGCAACGGGCUCUGGCCCUCAGCGCUGUGGCCUGCAGGGUGCUGGGGGAGGCCGCUGAGAGAAUGGGGUUUAUCUUUCCUUAGGGUCCUAUUGUUUAUCUUUAAAAUUACAGAAAAGCACCAGGUUUCUGAAAAGAGGAAGGCGUGAGGGACUGCUGAGUCUGAGAAGGCUCCAGAGGGCGGGUGGAGGCGGGCACUGUCCCAGAGACCCUUGAGCAGCACAGCAGGGCCAGUGAGGGCAGCAGGGGUGCAG